GUCGGCUCGUGGGAAGACGGGGAUGGAUGAGGAGGAGGGUGCGUGUUGUCACAGUUUGGCUGGUAGCCAAAAAAGUGAGCGACGAAAAGGUUAAACCGCUGCUGUCGCGACGCACCGAUGCCACUUCGCCGGGCAGGGAAGUUGGUCAGAGUGACUCGGGAGCUGGAAGCCAUGCAGGAACAAUACUCACAGCCUGGCAAGGCGGGCACAUGGGCAGCCAAUCAGGUACGCGAUGCCUCCUCAACCCCGGCUGAAUGGCAUCGGCCCUCCCCUUGCUCUGCUCGCUCUCCCCUUUUUCCCCCCACCGCCACCGCUCCGCAGCUGCCCGGGAUGAUUUUAUAAACAUUUUGCCAGCAGAUCAAUAGCUGUAUUGAUCAACCAUUGUGAGAGUGAUCUGUCUAAAACCCCCAGCAGCCUGCAGCUCCGAGAGAGGGAGGAGCGAAAGAGAGAGAGAGAGAGAGAGGCUGCAGAGAGGAUGAAGAAAGGGAAAGAGUCAGAGAGCGCAAGAGAGAAGAGAGAGAGGAAAAGAGAGAGAGAGAGAGAGAGAGAGAGGCUGUAGCCACAGAGAGAGAAAGAGGUAGUGGGGAGAGAAGGGGAGAGCCAGAUGGAAAGAGAGAGCUGAAGGUGAGCAAGUGGACGCGAGGAACGGGAGCGGCGGCAGAAACCGCAUUCGCGCCGAAACACAUUCUAAUCGCUUUCUCGUUAAGCGAGCGGAGGGAGGGGCGGCUAAUGAGUUUCGCUGAAAAUGCCUACGGUUGGUUGAGACACAGCCUCGUUCUGGAAAAAUGUCAGACGACGACGGCUUGCGGACGAGAAGGCCCUGAAAGGGACUUAAUUCGUAACGGAAUUUGGACACGUUCGAAAAUUAGGACUAUUGUGUUGAGGAUACAUCGACGUGGGAUUUUGUACAAUUUACCAUGGAUCACAAUGGAUCAAAAAAAAAAAAUGUGGAUAUCGCUAUGAAACCGGUGGACACAACGAGACCUCUGGAGGAAUUUACUCGCACGGAGUCCUCUAGGUGUGUUUGGAUAUUUGGGACAAAUUCCCAACCAAGGAAGCAUUCGGAUACGAUGGCUACGUGAAACUGGAGUUGCCGAGCACAACGGCGGUAAACAAUAGAUCUCUUGAUCGGGGAGAUCAGGCCUGGCCUGCCACUCUUGCCAUCACGUGGCUGAGACGAGAGUGUGUGUUUGUGUAUGUGUGUGUGUGUUGGGGGGGGCAGAGGAGUCACGCCAGAGAGCCCAUGGGAGGCCUGUAUCGAUCCAGCUCUGGGAGUAGUCCUGCUUCGUAGCGCGCUUUGUGAAGAAUUCACGUCUGGACAUAACAUAGUGAAUUGAUACAAGACUGGGAAGUAACCUCUGAUUGGUCAACGUAUGAAUUCUGAAGACUAAAAGAGAGCAGUGUGGCCUAAGAGACUACGUACGCACACACGCACAUAAUUCGACUCCGUAUAUCUCACUGACGCUGUGCCAUAGAACGCAUGUUAAUAAUAACCAGCGCUCCUAUAUUACUGACUAUUAGAUAUCGCGGAUGAGUAUUUAUAUCCCGUAGUAAAAAAAAAAAACCCAAACAAACCAUAAAACGUUUUAUUUAUUUAUUUAUUUAUUUAUUUUAUACACAGAAAUGAUUUUAUCUGUGAUUUGCGUUUCGCACAGUUGACUCGACACAUCAUUAACGUGUCUGUUGAAUAGAUCCACGGCAGAUUUAGCGUCUAAGGACUGAAUAAUGAGUACGGGGAAAUCAAUUAAUUGUUUCAUAAACCUUAACUAGUCAAUAAAUUAAGGCAAUUAGUACGAACAUAAAGGAGACGGCAACACGAGGCUCCCUCGAGACACGGACGCGUUCGUGCUUCAAAAGGCAGCGGGUGUUGUGUUAGCAGACUGAGAAUGUGCCACAGAUACGGAGAGGGUAAAAGAAAGAUUAAAAAAAAAAAAACAGGAAGUGAAGAGGAAGGAAGACUAUACGUGUACGUGUGUAAGCAUUACGUACACCUUUCCAAUUGAGCCGGAGUGAUCGGACGAGCAAUCGUCACACAUACCGUAUACUCGUCCUCGAACCAAAUACUUCACCUAGUGUAACUCUUCCUAAUCGUAUUCCUACGACAAAUCCGCUUCUAACGGAAGUCGAAGGAACUCUGUCAAUACGUCCUUGUAAAUGUGACUCUAAAUCUGUAGAAUUGAGAAGCCUGUGCGGUGAUGUCAACGCUACCUGCGCAGUUAUGAGUCUCUGACGGUGUAGGGAUACGACAAAAUCUUCUGAAAAGUUAACCGGAACUACUUUUUAGCGAAUCGCUCCGGUGUUAGAAAUGUGCAUGAAAGUCCAUUGGAACAGUUUCGGGAUCAUUUCUCUCGUAUACGUCUCGUCUGAACACCUUUAUUACUCAAGCGGAAGAGCGGGGGGUUUAAACUUGCGUUAAAGAGUCGCAUAUUUGAAACGUUUGAACACGUGGAUUGAGUUCCGCAGAGUUUGAGGUUUAACAGGUUUUCUGUUCUUUACCGUUAAGUCGCUCGUUAUUUAUUAUAGAGACACGGAUAAUCGGGUCGGUGCAGUUUUCUGUAAGGAGAUGUUUAUCGAACGUUUAUGGGAGGAGUCUCCAGUGUCAGCACUUUCAGAGUUAAAGUUGGAGCUAAGUUUUCCGACAUCUUCAGGACAGAGGACUUCGCACUUUUUGCGGUCUCUUGGUAACAUAACAAGCCGCGUU
Long non-coding RNA from Ictalurus punctatus (channel catfish), 2701 nucleotides. NCBI's taxonomy places the organism in Eukaryota, Metazoa, Chordata, Actinopteri, Siluriformes, Ictaluridae. The record is from Ensembl.